This 119-nucleotide ribosomal RNA is filed under the name Pteropus alecto (black flying fox). The record is from RNAcentral. Lineage: Eukaryota; Metazoa; Chordata; Mammalia; Chiroptera; Pteropodidae.
GUCUACGUCCAUGCCACCCUGAACAAGCCCGAUCCCAUCUGAUCUCAGAAGCUAAGCAGGGUUGGGCCUGGUUAGUACUUGGAUGGAAGACCACCUAGGAAGACCAGGUGCUGAAGGAG